Molecule: ribosomal RNA, 1372 nt
Filed under: uncultured bacterium
Lineage: Bacteria
Description: bacterial SSU rRNA
Rfam family: Bacterial small subunit ribosomal RNA
Source: RNAcentral
GAUGAACGCUGGCGGCGUGCCUAAUACAUGCAAGUCGAGCGAACGGACGAGAAGCUUGCUUCUCUGAUGUUAGCGGCGGACGGGUGAGUAACACGUGGAUAACCUACCUAUAAGACUGGGAUAACUUCGGGAAACCGGAGCUAAUACCGGAUAAUAUUUUGAACCGCAUGGUUCAAAAGUAAAAGACGGUCUUGCUGUCACUUAUAGAUGGAUCCGCGCUGCAUUAGCUAGUUGGUAAGGUAACGGCUUACCAAGGCAACGAUGCAUAGCCGACCUGAGAGGGUGAUCGGCCACACUGGAACUGAGACACGGUCCAGACUCCUACGGGAGGCAGCAGUAGGGAAUCUUCCGCAAUGGGCGAAAGCCUGACGGAGCAACGCCGCGUGAGUGAUGAAGGUCUUCGGAUCGUAAAACUCUGUUAUUAGGGAAGAACAUAUGUGUAAGUAACUGUGCACAUCUUGACGGUACCUAAUCAGAGAGCCACGGCUAACUACGUGCCAGCAGCCGCGGUAAUACGUAGGUGGCAAGCGUUAUCCGGAAUUAUUGGGCGUAAAGCGCGCGUAGGCGGUUUUUUAAGUCUGAUGUGAAAGCCCACGGCUCAACCGUGGAGGGUCAUUGGAAACUGGAAAACUUGAGUGCAGAAGAGGAAAGUGGAAUUCCAUGUGUAGCGGUGAGAUGCGCAGAGAUAUGGAGGAACACCAGUGGCGAAGGCGACUUUCUGGUCUGUAACUGACGCUGAUGUGCGAAAGCGUGGGGAUCAAACAGGAUUAGAUACCCUGGUAGUCCACGCCGUAAACGAUGAGUGCUAAGUGUUAGGGGGUUUCCGCCCCUUAGUGCUGCAGCUAACGCAUUAAGCACUCCGCCUGGGGAGUACGACCGCAAGGUUGAAACUCAAAGGAAUUGACGGGGACCCGCACAAGCGGUGGAGCAUGUGGUUUAAUUCGAAGCAACGCGAAGAACCUUACCAAAUCUUGACAUCCUUUGACAACUCUAGAGAUAGAGCCUUCCCCUUCGGGGGACAAAGUGACAGGUGGUGCAUGGUUGUCGUCAGCUCGUGUCGUGAGAUGUUGGGUUAAGUCCCGCAACGAGCGCAACCCUUAAGCUUAGUUGCCAUCAUUAAGUUGGGCACUCUAAGUUGACUGCCGGUGACAAACCGGAGGAAGGUGGGGAUGACGUCAAAUCAUCAUGCCCCUUAUGAUUUGGGCUACACACGUGCUACAAUGGACAAUACAAAGGGCAGCGAAACCGCGAGGUCAAGCAAAUCCCAUAAAGUUGUUCUCAGUUCGGAUUGUAGUCUGCAACUCGACUACACGAAGCUGGAAUCGCUAGUAAUCGUAGAUCAGCAUGCUACGGUGAAUACGUUCCCGGGUCU